Molecule: non-coding RNA, 137 nt
Organism: Intrasporangium chromatireducens Q5-1
Lineage: Bacteria; Bacillati; Actinomycetota; Actinomycetes; Micrococcales; Intrasporangiaceae
Source: Rfam
CCACAGUCGCUGCCCCGCUAGGGUGGCGGCAGCGUCAUCGACCAGGAACCCGGUGUGAGUCCGGGACGGUCCCGCCACUGUGAGCGCGCCACGCGUGGCCGCGUGAGUCAGGAACUGCCGGCGGCGUGUCACAUCCG